This 29-nucleotide non-coding RNA is filed under the name Homo sapiens (human). The record is from RNAcentral. Lineage: Eukaryota; Metazoa; Chordata; Mammalia; Primates; Hominidae.
UGACUAGAAAAUUCCAGCCUGAAGUGACC